CACGGGGGGAGCAAGCGUUGUUCGGAAUCACUGGGCGUAAAGGGCGUGUAGGCGGUCAAGUAAGUGGAAUGUGAAAGCCCCCGGCUUACUCGGGGAUCUGCAUCCCAAACUGCUUGGCUUGAGUACGGGAGAGGAUAGGGGAAUUCCUGGUGUAGCGGUGAAAUGCGUAGAUAUCAGGAGGAACACCGGUGGCGAAGGCGCCUAUCUGGCCCGAUACUGACGCUGAGGCGCGAAAGCUAGGGGAGCAAACAGG
This 253-nucleotide ribosomal RNA is filed under the name uncultured bacterium. RNAcentral describes it as "partial 16S ribosomal RNA". It matches the Rfam family "Bacterial small subunit ribosomal RNA", at positions 524 to 776 of the family's 1533-position model. The record is from RNAcentral.